GGGCCCGCACAAGCGGUGGAGCAUGUGGUUUAAUUCGAUGAUACGCGAGGAACCUUACCAGGGCUUAAAUGUAGUGGGACAGGUCUAGAGAUAGACCCUUCUUCGGACUCAUUACAAGGUGCUGCAUGGUUGUCGUCAGCUCGUGCCGUGAGGUGUCAGGUUAAGUCCUAUAACGAGCGCAACCCCUAUCGUUAGUUGCCAGCGAGUAAUGUCGGGAACUCUAACGAAACUGCCAGUGCAAACUGUGAGGAAGGUGGGGAUGACGUCAAAUCAUCACGGCCCUUACGUCCUGGGCUACACACGUGCUACAAUGGCCGGUACAGAGAGCAGCCACUUCGCAAGAAGGAGCGAAUCUAUUAAAACCGGUCUCAGUUCGGAUUGGAGUCUGAAACUCGACUCUAUGAAGCUGGAAUCGCUAGUAA
Molecule: ribosomal RNA, 422 nt
Filed under: uncultured bacterium
Lineage: Bacteria
Description: bacterial SSU rRNA
Rfam family: Bacterial small subunit ribosomal RNA
Source: RNAcentral